Molecule: ribosomal RNA, 143 nt
Filed under: bacterium
Lineage: Bacteria
Description: partial 16S ribosomal RNA
Rfam family: Bacterial small subunit ribosomal RNA
Source: RNAcentral
CCUACGGGAGGCAGCAGUGGGGAAUCUUGCGCAAUGGGCGAAAGCCUGACGCAGCAACGCCGCGUGAGUGAGGAAGGCCUUCGGGUUGUAAAACUCUGUCCUGGGGGAAGAAACAAAUGACGUACCCCGAGAGNCCNCNANNU